CCUGAGUCGCUGACAGGGGCGGAGAAGUCUAGGGGGCCUGUCCUGCUGUCAGCGCCCAUGAUGGAUGAGGGGCCAGAGCUAGACUCCUGCCACAGGGGGAGGUGGGGGUGACCCCCCAGGGUCUGCAGGCAGAGCCUCUGCCUCUCACAGCUGGGGGGCCUGGGCGAGGGUCCCCACCCAGCCAGGGGUGUUUAAAGGCCCAAAGGGCGUGGGCCCUCCCACUCUGCCUAGAGUCAUGGGCGCCUGGGCCUUCCCCGCAGCCCUUUUCCUUCUCUGCCUGACUUCCGAGAGCCUGCAAGGGCUGCCCCUUCUGCCUCCUGGCCUGGGGAAAGGUAGGUGGGCCCUCUGGCACUGGGGUCAGGAAGAGUCUCCCAUCUCUCCUGCCCUGGGGGUGUGGGAGCUCUCUGGGACUCCCGAUGCGGGGCCCAGGAGAGCUCAGGGCCCUUGCUGUCUUCCGGGCAGGGAGUCUCAUCAAGUGUCCACUCAAGGGUGGGGAGCACAGACACCCUGCACUCUCAGAAGAGUCUCCCGGGGCAGAACAUGCAGCCCUGAGGACGGGCCUGGGCAGGCUGAGAAGGGUGG
RNAcentral lists this long non-coding RNA (582 nucleotides) under Homo sapiens (human). RNAcentral's name for it is "HSALNT0226766". The record is from RNAcentral. Lineage: Eukaryota; Metazoa; Chordata; Mammalia; Primates; Hominidae.